This 336-nucleotide long non-coding RNA is filed under the name Elaeis guineensis (African oil palm). Its description in RNAcentral is "long non-coding RNA (EGUI_LNC000393)". The record is from RNAcentral. Lineage: Eukaryota; Viridiplantae; Streptophyta; Magnoliopsida; Arecales; Arecaceae.
GGACUUCGCUUCCAGAUGAUGUUUUAGAAUUGAUCUUGGUUCGGCUUCCUUUCACUUCUUUGAGACCCCACCAUGGUGGGAGAAAGGAGAGGAAGAGAAUGGAUGGAGAAAAAAGAGGAGGAGAAAAGAGGAGGGAGAAAAAGGAGGAAGGGGAGGAGGAGAAAUAGAUAAAAAGAAAGGGGAGGAAGAGAAAGGAAGAAGGAAGGAAGUGGGAGAAAUAGAGAUACUGGUCAGGGAGGAGGAGGGAGGAGGAAGGUAAUGGGUAUUUUUAUUAUUUUAAAAAAAUUUAUUAAUAGAGAUAGAUAGCUGAACUACAUUACAAAUAUUUCGAUAACU